This 460-nucleotide ribosomal RNA is filed under the name uncultured bacterium. RNAcentral describes it as "partial 16S ribosomal RNA". It matches the Rfam family "Bacterial small subunit ribosomal RNA", at positions 338 to 795 of the family's 1533-position model. The record is from RNAcentral.
CCUACGGGAGGCAGCAGUGAGGAAUAUUGGUCAAUGGACGAGAGUCUGAACCAGCCAAGUAGCGUGAAGGAUGACUGCCCUAUGGGUUGUAAACUUCUUUUAUAUGGGAAUAAAACGUUCCACGUGUGGGAUUUUGUAUGUACCAUAUGAAUAAGGAUCGGCUAACUCCGUGCCAGCAGCCGCGGUAAUACGGAGGAUCCGAGCGUUAUCCGGAUUUAUUGGGUUUAAAGGGAGCGUAGGUGGAUUUUUAAGUCAGUUGUGAAAGUUUGCGGCUCAACCGUAAAAUUGCAGUUGAAACUGGCAGUCUUGAGUACAGUAGAGGCGGGCGGAAUUCGUGGUGUAGCGGUGAAAUGCUUAGAUAUCACGAAGAACUCCGAUUGCGAAGGCAGCUCACUGGACUGCAACUGACACUGAGGCUCGAAAGUGUGGGGAUCAAACAGGAUUAGAUACCCGUGUAGUC